RNAcentral lists this transfer RNA (75 nucleotides) under Sicyopterus lividus. Its description in RNAcentral is "tRNA-Lys". It matches the Rfam family "tRNA". Rfam says of the family: Transfer RNA (tRNA) molecules are approximately 80 nucleotides in length. Lineage: Eukaryota; Metazoa; Chordata; Actinopteri; Gobiiformes; Gobiidae. The record is from RNAcentral.
CACUAAGAAGCUAAACAGGGCGAUAGCGUCAGCCUUUUAAGCUGAAGAUUGGUGCCCCCCAACCACCCUUAGUGA